This 450-nucleotide ribosomal RNA is filed under the name uncultured bacterium. RNAcentral's name for it is "partial 16S ribosomal RNA". It matches the Rfam family "Bacterial small subunit ribosomal RNA", at positions 338 to 795 of the family's 1533-position model. The record is from RNAcentral.
CCUACGGGGGGCUGCAGUGGGGAAUAUUGGACAAUGGGCGCAAGCCUGAUCCAGCCAUGCCGCGUGAGUGAUGAAGGCCUUCGGGUCGUAAAGCUCUGUGGGAAGGGACGAAAAAACCGGUCCUAAUACGCCCGGUCUUGACGGUACCUUCUUAGCAAGCACCGGCUAACUCCGUGCCAGCAGCCGCGGUAAUACGGAGGGUGCAACCGUUGCUCGGAAUCAUUGGGCGUAGGGCGCGCAAAGGGGGUCCGAAAUCCCUCGGCUCAACCGAGGAAGGGCAUCCGAAACUGCCGGGCUUGAGUACGGAAGAGGGUCUCGGAAUUCCCGGUGUAGAGGUGAAAUUCGUAGAUAUCGGGAGGAACACCAGUGGCGAAGGCGGAGACCUGGGCCGAUACUGACGCUGAGGUGCGAAAGCGUGGGGAGCAAACAGGAUUAGAUACCCCUGUAGUC